UACAGAGACUGCCAGCGUUAUUCGGAUUCACUGGGCGUAAAGGGUGCGCAGGCGGCCGUGUGUGUCAGGUGUGAAAGCCCGGAGCUUAACUCCGGAAUUGCGCCUGAAACUACAUGGCUAGAGCAUUGGAGAGGGUAGCGGAAUUCACGGUGUAGCAGUGAAAUGCGUAGAUAUCGUGAGGAACACCAGAGGCGAAGGCGGCUACCUGGACAAUUGCUGACGCUCAGGCACGAAAGCGUGGGGAGCAAAAGGG
This 253-nucleotide ribosomal RNA is filed under the name uncultured bacterium. RNAcentral describes it as "partial 16S ribosomal RNA". It matches the Rfam family "Bacterial small subunit ribosomal RNA", at positions 524 to 776 of the family's 1533-position model. The record is from RNAcentral.